GUGUGUUGGAGGUCGGUGAAGAUGCUGGACUCGGCAUGGCACAAGCUGGACUUGCAGCAGUUCAAGGCCAGCCACUGGGGUGCGAGUGUGGUGGACCACCCCAGGGCUGGCACCCCGCAGCGCAGGGAUCCCAGUGACUGCGGGGCUCUGGCUCCCAUCGCUCCCCUGGACCCUGAAGGUUGCUGCUCUGCAGCUCCUGCGGUUCUUGUGAGACCCACAAGUGCUGCACUACCUUCAUAGAAGACACCAGUUUUUCGGAGAGCGGCAGCUGCAGUGCUGUGGGCGCUGGUGGGAAGGGCAACACGGCCACAGAGACGUGCGCCUGCACCCUUCUCCGUGCACCUCGCAGCCCCUUCAGUAUCACACCCAGCACGGGAAUCCCUGCUCAGCAACCCAGCAGCCGGCACCUCGGCUCCAGCGCAAGAGGCGGUGAAGCUCCAGGGACUAAGCCAGAGCCCAGCCGCCCGCACACGAUGCUCUUCGGGCUGUACGCAUGUCACUCCCCCCACAAGGCAGGGACGGGCACCCAGCCGGAUGGACACGGCCAUACCUGACUACAGCAGAUGGGGAGCAGAGCGGCCAAGACGGCUGCGGGGCCCUUCGUGGUGCUGCAGGACGUUGGCACGCUUUUGUCCCCCAGCUGCUGGGUGGGUGCAGGAUUUCAAAGAGCGAGUGCAUCAUACCAAGAAAAUCAAGUCAGGAUCCCCAAAUUUUGCUGAGCUGUGGAAGCCAGGGCUGGGGGUACAACGCCACAACUGCAACCCACAGCGUGGUCACCAAGAAGAAGAGGGAGAUACGAGCAGACCUGAAGCACUUCUGGGUGCAGGCACUCCUGCAGCUAUCCAGAGCAGAAAAGCUGCUCUCCCACCGCUGUGAAGGAAGUGAAAACACAGAGAUGGUGCAGAACACGUCAAAAUGUUUGUUGAGGACUCAGGAGCUCUGGUGCCUAAAUAAAUCUCUUGCACUAGGAAAUUAGGGAUUUUGUGGUUUAUUUGCGACACGACACCGUCUUCAGGCCACACCCAUGCAAGACAUAUGAGCUGACAUGUCUCCAACUCCCCGCUGGAGCUGACAGCCACCCAGCACAGCCCCGUGGGCAGACGUGGGCAUCCCAAAGCCACCCCUCAGGGCCCCCAGCACCCCGGGGAGCACUCGCAGCCCCACCGCAAGCUCUGCUCAUUGUGACAUCGGCACCGCGUCACCAACGCCCACGUUCUCACUGUGACAUCACAAUGUGCAGGGCUGUUUCACACAGCGCACGCCCGUGUCCCCCCAGUCCCGGGUACCUCUGGAUCGAGGAAGCAGCACCACUGCUUUGCUCCAGAAGGAAAGCCCAGGAAUGGAGCGGAGGUCUCAACACCUCGGUGCGCCACAACCCAACCCUUCCACCCGCCGCCCGGCAGCACAGCCCAGGCCCGAACGGGUGCCGUUCCCCCCAGAAAUGAAGCAGUGUGUCUCCGAGGAGGAAGGCGAGUGUAGAGCAUUCCCGCAGCGGAUGUGCAGGUGUCACCCUGCUCACAUGCUUGGGGUGAUAAUGCCCUUGUCCCCACUGCAGGGUGCAGGCUGUGCCAGCGGACAGAGCACGACCCCGAGAUAUACGGAGAGACGUGCCGUCAGGACAGCCUGUGCAUCCACGAGAACUGCCUGGUGAGCCCCAACCCCAGCCCCCAGCCCCCAGCCCCGUGCCAGCCGCUGCACCCCACGUGCAGUAACAGGUCCCCGGUUGCCUCCUGCAGUACCACGCCAGCGGGCUGUACCAGCGCGGUGCUGACGAGGAAGGAUUCUUCGGAUUCCUCUUUCCUGACAUCGAGCAGGAGCUGCAGCGCGUGGCACAGAAGGUGAACAGGGCGCCGUGUCCCCACCUCGGUCCCCGUGCCACGUGGCUGGGAGACGCCAGCAGAGCCCUGGCUGUCCGAAAAGUCCCAUCGCUGCACAAAUCAGAACUGAUUCAUGCUGCGGGGUCCCUAGCCACGUGG
Phasianus colchicus (ring-necked pheasant) is the source of this 1976-nucleotide long non-coding RNA. NCBI's taxonomy places the organism in Eukaryota, Metazoa, Chordata, Aves, Galliformes, Phasianidae. The record is from Ensembl.